This 540-nucleotide ribosomal RNA is filed under the name uncultured Chitinophagaceae bacterium. Its description in RNAcentral is "bacterial SSU rRNA". It matches the Rfam family "Bacterial small subunit ribosomal RNA", at positions 96 to 633 of the family's 1533-position model. The record is from RNAcentral. Lineage: Bacteria; Pseudomonadati; Bacteroidota; Chitinophagia; Chitinophagales; Chitinophagaceae.
CGGCAAACGGGUGCGGAACACGUACGCAACAUACCCUUGUCUGGGGCAUAGCCCGAAGAAAUUCGGAUUAACACCCCAUAAGAUCAUAGAAUGGCAUCAUUUAGUGAUUAAAAAUUUAUUGGACAGGGAUUGGCGUGCGUCCUAUUAGCUAGUUGGUAAGGGUAACGGCCUACCAAGGCGACGAUAGGUAGCUGGUGUGAGAGCACGACCAGCCACACGGGCACUGAGACACGGGCCCGACUCCUACGGGAGGCAGCAGUGAGGAAUAUUGGUCAAUGGACGCAAGUCUGAACCAGCCAUGCCGCGUGAAGGAUGAAGGCGUUCUGCGUUGUAAACUUCUUUUGCGGGGGAAGAAACCUGAUUUUUCUAAAUCAGCCGACGGUACCCCGAGAAUAAGCACCGGCUAACUCCGUGCCAGCAGCCGCGGUAAUACGGAGGGUGCAAGCGUUAUCCGGAUUUACUGGGUUUAAAGGGUGUGUAGGCGGACUUUUAAGUCAGCGGUGAAAUCUCCGGGCUCAACCCGGAAACUGCCAUUGAUAC